GAGACCGCAGGAUGACGGCCAGGCUAACAACCUUGCCCGACUCGCGGAGAGGAGGUGCAUGGCCGUCGCCAGCUCGUGUUGUGAAAUGUCCGGUUAAGUCCGGCAACGAGCGAGACCCCCACCCCUAGUUGGUAUCACGGGCUCCGGCCCGUGACCACACUAGGGGGACUGCCGGCGUAAGCCGGAGGAAGGAGGGGGCCACGGCAGGUCAGCAUGCCCCGAAACCCCCGGGUCGACGCGGGUUACAAUGGCAGGGACAGCGGGAUGCUACCCCGAAAGGGGGAGCCAAUCCCCCAAACCCUGCCGCAGUUGGGAUCGAGGGCUGGAACCCGCCCUCGUGAACGAGGAAUCCCUAGUAACCGCGGGUCAACAACCCGCGGUGAAUACGUCCCUGCUCCUUGUACACACCGCCCGU
Molecule: ribosomal RNA, 415 nt
Filed under: uncultured Stygiolobus sp.
Lineage: Archaea; Thermoproteati; Thermoproteota; Thermoprotei; Sulfolobales; Sulfolobaceae
Description: bacterial SSU rRNA
Rfam family: Archaeal small subunit ribosomal RNA
Source: RNAcentral